RNAcentral lists this ribosomal RNA (162 nucleotides) under Cetraria aculeata. Its description in RNAcentral is "5.8S ribosomal RNA". It matches the Rfam family "5.8S ribosomal RNA". Rfam says of the family: 5.8S ribosomal RNA (5.8S rRNA) is a component of the large subunit of the eukaryotic ribosome. It is transcribed by RNA polymerase I as part of the 45S precursor that also contains 18S and 28S rRNA. Lineage: Eukaryota; Fungi; Ascomycota; Lecanoromycetes; Lecanorales; Parmeliaceae. The record is from RNAcentral.
AAAACUUUCAACAACGGAUCUCUUGGUUCCAGCAUCGAUGAAGAACGCAGCGAAAUGCGAUAACUAAUGUGAAUUGCAGAAUUCAGUGAAUCAUCGAGUCUUUGAACGCACAUUGCGCCCCUCGGUAUUCCGGGGGGCAUGCCUGUUCGAGCGUCAUUAUAC